RNAcentral lists this non-coding RNA (964 nucleotides) under Galeopterus variegatus (Sunda flying lemur). RNAcentral describes it as "12S ribosomal RNA". It matches the Rfam family "Bacterial small subunit ribosomal RNA". The record is from RNAcentral. Lineage: Eukaryota; Metazoa; Chordata; Mammalia; Dermoptera; Cynocephalidae.
GACAGGUUUGAUCCUAGCCUUUUUAUUAAUUAUUAGUAAAAUUACACAUGCAAGCAUCCGCGCCCCCGUGAAAACGCCCUUCAAGUUAACAACAACUACAAAGGAGCGGGUAUCAAGCACACCAAUCAGGUAGCUCACAACACCUCGCCCAGCCACACCCCCACGGGUUACAGCAGUGAUAAAAAUUUAGCAAUGAACGAAAGUUUGACUAAGUUAUACUAGUUUAGGACCGGUAAAUUUCGUGCCAGCCACCGCGGCCAUACGAUUGAUCCAAGUAAAUAAAAUUCGGCAUAAAGCGUGUUUAAGAGUAAGUAACAAAUAAAAUUAAACCCUAUCUAAACUGUAAAAAGCCAUAGAUAAAAGUAAAAUAAACUACGAAAGUGACUUUAUUAAUAAUCUGAAUUCACGACAGUUGAGACCCAAACUGGGAUUAGAUACCCCACUAUGCCCAACCGUAAACCCAAGCAGUUGACCAAAUGAAACUGCUCGCCAGAGUACUACCAGCAACAGCCCAAAACUCAAAGGAUUUGGCGGUGCUUCACAUCCCCCUAGAGGAGUCUGUUCUAUAAUCGAUAAACCCCGAUAUACCUUACCAUCCCUUGCCAACUCAGCCUGUAUACCGCCAUCUUCAGCAAACCCCUCCAGGGGACAAAAGUAAGCGCAAGAAUCCACAUAAAAACGUUAGGUCAAGGUGCAGCUUAUGAGAUGGAAGAAAUGGACUACAUUUUCUUAUCCAGAAUACCUACCCACGACAACCUUUAUGAAAACUAAAGGUCAAAGGAGGAUUUAGCAGUAAAUUAAGAAUAGAGAGCUCAAUUGAAAAAGGCCAUGAAGCACGCACACACCGCCCGUCACCCUCCUCAAAUAACACCACAGACAAACCUUUAUCAGCUCUGUAAAAACUAAUCUAGAGGAGACAAGUCGUAACAAGGUAAGUGUACUAGAAAGUGCACUUGGACAUAUU